UAACNGCCAAGAGAUCGGGAUAACACCUGGAAACAGAUGCUAAUACCGGAUAACAACAGAUGAUGCCUAUCAACUGUUUAAAAGAUGGUUCUGCUAUCACUCUUGGAUGGACCUGCGGUGCAUUAGCUAGUUGGUAGGGUAACGGCCUACCAAGGCGAUGAUGCAUAGCCGAGUUGAGAGACUGAUCGGCCACAUUGGGACUGAGACACGGCCCAAACUCCUACGGGAGGCAGCAGCC
RNAcentral lists this ribosomal RNA (238 nucleotides) under uncultured Lactobacillus sp. RNAcentral's name for it is "partial 16S ribosomal RNA". It matches the Rfam family "Bacterial small subunit ribosomal RNA", at positions 122 to 355 of the family's 1533-position model. Lineage: Bacteria; Bacillati; Bacillota; Bacilli; Lactobacillales; Lactobacillaceae. The record is from RNAcentral.